This 544-nucleotide long non-coding RNA is filed under the name Bos taurus (domestic cattle). RNAcentral's name for it is "long non-coding RNA NONBTAT011250". The record is from RNAcentral. Lineage: Eukaryota; Metazoa; Chordata; Mammalia; Artiodactyla; Bovidae.
AAUCUGGAGUUUGACAUUUUUAACAUGUGAAAAUGUUGAGCCCCCUUAGAAUGAGUGAGUCAAAUGGAAACCUUCCAGUACCUUGGCUGGGAAACAUGGCCUCAUUUAGUGAUGAGUUUUCGGAUCCUGUGUGUGUCUUCAGAACAGAGUGCCCUGCAGGAAGCAGGCCGAGAAUAUCCCUCCUAGUUCUCUUUGGCAGGACAGCAGAGAGGAGUGUCCUUUGCUCAAGAUCUCCCGUUCUUAACUAGAACAUCUGUGACCUGACUCUGAGUUCUUUGAAACAGUCCAUCGUAUUUGUAUCCUGUCACAGGAGACUUUGCUUCUCUUGCCAGUUCUGCUCAGUGGAGUGUUAACCUGAGGAUAAACCCAGAUUCUGCUUUGUUUAUUUUUGGAAUUAGAAGAUUUGGCUUCUCUCUAAGGUCUUUCAGCUCCAAAAUUCUGUGAUUUUAAUAGAAUUUAGGUUUAUCUCCCCCCACCCUCCUACCCCAACCAGUCCAGGAUCCCAGCCACCACUUAGUAUGUCUCCCCCACUAUCCGCCUCCCG